CUUCAAUUCCUCUUUCACUCCCUGAUUUGUAGUUAGAUACUAAGUUGUUCCCACACAGAGCUCAGAGAUCUGCAGAAAAGCCAUGGCUGUCCGACAGCAGCCCACCCAGGUGAUGACAACUGCCAGUGCUGGGCAGUGGACCACCGGCCUUUGUGAAUGUUGUGUUGAUAUGGAGACCUGUUGCUGUGGCUUUUGGUGUUUCCCCUGCAUGCAGUGUGAUGCAGCCAGUAAACAUGGAUGGUGCUGCGCACUGCCACUGCUGGAUGUUUGUGGUGUGGUGUCCUGCUUACUCCGUGGGUCCAUCAGAGAGCGCCACAACAUUGUUGGCUCGUUCUGUGAUGACUGCUGUAAAGUGUGCUGGUGUUACCCGUGCGUUUGGUGCCAGAUGCAUCGCGAGCUGAAGAUCAGGCAGUAAUAGCAGCCCGCCACCUCGACUGCUGCCAGCACGCAGGUCGUCUGUGGAUGCAAACAUUUCGGCUGUGUGUUGAGAGCCUAUGUCACUGCUGAAGAAAAAUGCUUUAAAUUUGUUGUCAUAUUAAUGUGUCGAAUCCUAUUUGACUUUUUCAGGCCAAUAAAAUCCUUUAAUUUUAUACAA
Long non-coding RNA from Pundamilia nyererei, 595 nucleotides. RefSeq lists it as uncharacterized. The transcript is spliced from 4 exons. Lineage: Eukaryota; Metazoa; Chordata; Actinopteri; Cichliformes; Cichlidae. The record is from RefSeq and is a predicted model, not a curated record.